This is a long non-coding RNA of Hemicordylus capensis (graceful crag lizard), 2460 nucleotides long. RefSeq lists it as uncharacterized. Lineage: Eukaryota; Metazoa; Chordata; Lepidosauria; Squamata; Cordylidae. The record is from RefSeq and is a predicted model, not a curated record. The transcript is spliced from 3 exons.
AAGCUGAAGAAGCAAACAAGCUGAGAAAAACCUUUUCCCUUCUUCUAUGGCCUCUUUUCCAUUAAAAAACAACAACAAAACCACCACCCAAAGUAUUUCUUGUUACAAAAGCAGAUCAGCCAAGAAUACAUUCUUGCUCUGUGCACCAGGUCUGUUCUCUUCCCUGAAGACUCCUCUGAGUCUAGACCUGAACAUUUUCAGGAAGUGCUGCAGCAGCGUGUUCCAUUUGGUUUUUAAUGGCAAAGAUUAAACAGGUAUCGUGUCAUUUUAAUACAGUAUCGAACUGAAUAUUUAACAUUUUAAUUGGUGUUUUAAUGAGCAUUGCAUUGUUUGUAUUGAAAUGUUGCUUGAUGUUACUAAUGCUAAGUACAUGAGAUGGGCUAGAAAUGAUUUAGCAGCUAUUGUGGGAAGUGUUAGAUACUUUGAAUUGUUUAAGGAAUCUGCAGUUAGGAGUACAUGAGGACUUCAUUAAUCGCAGGUCCAGCACUCACGGUUUUGUGUAUCCACGCAGUUGGGUAAAGGCACCCAACCUUGAUAUAUGUGAUAAAAAACCGGAGGAGAAAGGGUUAACCCCACAUUUCUGUGGGUUGGGGGUGUCCGGAAAUUACUUUGGAGGUCAUUUCCAGCCACCAUUUUGAGUUAGCCAGAGAUUAGGAGCCAUUGUAUGGCUCUCCCUCUUUUUUAACCUGGAAAAAACUUGAUUUUUAGCCAAUUUUUGGCCAAUUAUUUCUUCUUGGGGAAGCAUUGCUGGGAUAUGUGGAAUGCAUGGAGCAUGGAUGGGCUCUUUAUUUUGUGUAUUUUUGUAGUGUUUAGCUCUUUAGCCCAUUUUUAGCCCAUUACCCUGCCCUUUGGAACCUAACCCCCAGAUUCCCAUUGCCCCAUUGCCUCAGGUUUCACGGUUCCAGUAUCUGCAGCAGUAGCCGAGAAGCGAACCCCCACAGAUACCAAGGUUUUUCCUUAUGGCAAAUCUGCCAAGCUGCUAUAUAUCUGCUGGUUUUACUUAGUGUGAAAUGAAAAUGCUGUAUUAAGAGUUCUGUGUCUGCCUGGAGUUAUUCUGUGUAAAUACUACAGAAGAAGGUCAUUCACUUGAACAGGUUUACCUGGGCUAGCAUAGCCCUAUCCAGGUAGACCUGGUUGUGUAGAGCACCAGGAUUGAGACCGAUUCUGGUGCUCCUCCACUGGGUUGCCCAAGCUUUGUGCCCAGGCUAAAUAUGAGGUAGAAGGGCAUUUGUGUCCUUCUAUCUCACCCCCAGUCGUGUGGAUGCCUGGGCUGCCUGCAUAGUGCCCAUAGAGCUGGGUAUAAUGAGUGCCUGGCAGAGGGUAAAUCCCCCAAUGCACCACACUCUGUGCAUGGUGCAUUGUGGGAUUUGGGAGGAUUUCCUUCUCCAGAAGACAGCUCUGCCGCUCACUGACCUGGCGCUCAUGUGGGCGCAUGAGUGGCAGAAUAAGAGGAAGCCUGCAGAUUGCCUGUGGGGAGGCAGGUUGGAGCGGUGAGAGAAGUAGUAAGAUUCUUACUUGGCUGGCACUGCCGCCAGUGCUUCCGCUUCCCCCCCUUGGUGCAGCACCAAGCUUGCGUGAUGCCUUUUUAGGAAGCUGCCCUCAUGGUAGUGUCAUGAUUCCAGUCUCUGCACAUCUGCGGAGGCUGGAACUGCACUAUUGCCACGUGGGCGGCUUCCUAACAAGGCAUAGCCACCCCGGUGCGAAGGGGCGGUGGCACCAGCAGCCACACCGGGCAGGUAAGAACCUUACUACUUUUUUUGCCGCCACACUCAGCCUCCCCUUAGGUUGAUUCAGGACCUGCUCCCCUUUACUUGUAAAGGAGAAUACUCACUGAAUUCCCCUUUACAAAUAUUAGCCACUCAAACUGCUGAAUCGGUUUGGUCAAAUGGACCGGACUGGCCGGCCGGUUCAACCAAACCGCUUCAGUAGCACAUGGUUUGGUUCAAAUUUGAAUCGAAUUGGAACUGAACUGUGAUUUUUGGUUCAUGCACACCCCUAGUCUUAACCCCUAAUGCCCUUAGUGGUCAAUAGGAUUGCUGGUGCAUGGAGCCAUGCAGGAGCUGCAUCUCCAACAUUAGGAGCCACAGUUGUGAGUCGCUCUUCUUCUUUCUCCCUCCUUCCCUGGACAUACUGAAUUCAGUCAACAUGAAGCCAACUGGAACGUUAUAUGGUGGUCGUCUCUGUUGCACCGUCAUUUGAAAUGGCUGUUACUAUAGAAAACAGCACUACCAGGAUCCACAAGAACAUCUUUGAGACAACUGAUGGCCUUCUGCAAACCAGAUUUUUAACACUGAGCCAUUUUUGGAAGGGCAGUAUAGAAAUCAAAUAAAUAAAUAAAUAAUCAGAUCAAUUAUUCAAAAAUGGCUUCAUUCCCAAGAGAAGCAGAAGAUCUUCCUCAGAUUCAAAUGUGUGAUUAUUCAAAUGUGUCAUAAUUAUUCAUUGAAAUGAAUAAAGUUUGAG